Molecule: long non-coding RNA, 669 nt
Filed under: Triticum aestivum (bread wheat)
Lineage: Eukaryota; Viridiplantae; Streptophyta; Magnoliopsida; Poales; Poaceae
Description: long non-coding RNA (TAES_LNC014552)
Source: RNAcentral
CUGAUCUUUCGAAUGGUAAAGUUAUGUAGAAAUGUGACUCAUCUAAGCAACGUGAUUGCGUAGCUAGCUUUGGAGGAGGAAUUAGAGCAAGAGAUUUGUGAGGACCCGCAUUAAGUAAGGCUGAAUUGGUUUCUAAACUUCAAGCUUCUAAGAAAGUGAAACAAGUACUCGAAGGAAAGUUCAAUGAUAUGGUGCAAGAAGUGUUAGAAAUUAAGCAUCUUGUGUCUGGUAAAUCUCUAAAUCAUAGUUCCCAUGAAAGACAACAUGAUAAAGUAAGUUCUCAUACAUUGAUUUUAUAUGUUACUAUACGUUGUGCCAAUUUAUUUACAUGGACUGAGUUUCAUAACCUACUCAACAUUUUGUAGGACUGAUGGUGCACCGUAAUAUAUAGAAGCAUUAGGAGGCAUUGUAAUGGCGGAUGAAGAUAUCCAUUCAAACAACGAGUGGUGCCCCUCGAUUGAAGAUUAAUUAAUAUUAUAUUUUCUAGUUGUCACGUUUUCUAGAUAGAUAUGGUCAAGUACAUUGGUCAUAUAUAUAAGGAGUGCUUUUGACUCAAAUUUUGUUUAAUGAUAUUUUAAUUUCAGAAUUGUAUGUCAGAAUAUUGGUAUUUCUAUUAAUAAAUGUGGCUAUGACCCUUUUAAUUCAGAUUAGUUUUUAUAUCAAUGUGGA